Molecule: ribosomal RNA, 495 nt
Filed under: uncultured bacterium
Lineage: Bacteria
Description: bacterial SSU rRNA
Rfam family: Bacterial small subunit ribosomal RNA
Source: RNAcentral
AACGAACGCUGGCGGCGUGCCUAACACAUGCAAGUCGUGCGAGAAAGUUCCUUCGGGAGCGAGUAAAGCGGCGCACGGGUGAGUAACACGUAGGUAACCUGCCCCCCAGUCUGGAACAACUAGAGGAAACUCUAGCUAAUGCCGGAUGAGACCACGAUCCCUUCGGGGGUUGCGGCCAAAGAUGGCCUCUACUUGUAAGCUAUCGCUGAGGGAUGGGCCUGCGGGCCAUUAGCUUGUUGGUGAGGUAACGGCUCACCAAGGCUGUGAUGGCUAGCUGGUCUGAGAGGAUGACCAGCCACACUGGGACUGAGACACGGCCCAGACUCCUACGGGAGGCAGCAGUGGGGAAUAUUGGACAAUGGGCGCAAGCCUGAUCCAGCCAUGCCGCGUGAGUGAUGAAGGCCCUAGGGUUGUAAAGCUCUUUUGUGCGGGAAGAUAAUGACGGUACCGCAAGAAUAAGCCCCGGCUAACUUCGUGGCCAGCAGCCGCGGUAAU